AUGGGACCCACGUUGCUCUUAUCCUCUUCCUGCUUCCUCUGGUUGAAACGUCUCGACCACACACACAUCUCAUUCCCUUCGUCACCCGUUGCCGCUGCAAUCCGUCGUCGCCUUGCAUCGCAGCUCCCGUCGCCGUCGAGCUGCAUCGCAGCACCCGCCGUAGGCGACGGCGCCGCACCGCGCACAUCCCGUGCUGCAUCGCAGCCUUUCGCCAUGGCCGCCGGCGCUGCAUCGCAGCUUUCGCCAUGGCCGCCGGCGUCAUCUCGCGCUGCAUCGCACCACCUGUCUCCGGCAACGUUUCUUCGGAGCAUCCUCCAUGACCGCCGGUGCUGCAUCGCAACUUUCGCCGUCGUCGCGCGCUGUAUUGGAGUUUCCGCCAUGGACGCGGUGCUGCAUCGCAGCACCCAUCGCUGCCAAACGUUGCACCGCAGCAUCCGCCAUGGCCAGCGCUGCAUAGAUUCCCAACUUCCGCCGUCUUCACCAUGCGCUGCGUCGCAGCACCCGUCGCUGCCAAUGGAGCUUUGCCGGUCGGUCGUCGGUGUUGCAAUGAAGCUCCGUCGAAUGCUUCAAUGGAGCUUCGUCGGAGGGCCACCAGUGCUACAAUGGAGUUUCGCCGGUGGCGGUGCUACAGGGGGAGGCACCGAGGGUGUUGCAAGGGGCCGGCUCCCCGGCCGCCCGCAGUGGUGGUUUUGGUGCCGGCGGUAG
Molecule: ribosomal RNA, 705 nt
Filed under: Triticum aestivum (bread wheat)
Lineage: Eukaryota; Viridiplantae; Streptophyta; Magnoliopsida; Poales; Poaceae
Description: partial small subunit ribosomal RNA
Source: RNAcentral